GGGGAGCAAACAGGAUUAGAUACCCUGGUAGUCCACGCCGUAAACGAUGUCUACUUGGAGGUUGUGGCCUUGAGCCGUGGCUUUCGGAGCUAACGCGUUAAGUAGACCGCCUGGGGAGUACGGUCGCAAGAUUAAAACUCAAAUGAAUUGACGGGGGCCCGCACAAGCGGUGGAGCAUGUGGUUUAAUUCGAUGCAACGCGAAGAACCUUACCUACUCUUGACAUCCAGAGAAGCCAGUAGAGAUACAGGUGUGCCUUCGGGAGCUCUGAGACAGGUGCUGCAUGGCUGUCGUCAGCUCGUGUUGUGAAAUGUUGGGUUAAGUCCCGCAACGAGCGCAACCCUUAUCCUUGUUUGCCAGCGAGUAAUGUCGGGAACUCCAGGGAGACUGCCGGUGAUAAACCGGAGGAAGGUGGGGACGACGUCAAGUCAUCAUGGCCCUUACGAGUAGGGCUACACACGUGCUACAAUGGCGCAUACAGAGGGCAGCGAACUUGCGAAAGUAAGCGAAUCCCAAAAAGUGCGUCGUAGUCCGGAUUGGAGUCUGCAACUCGACUCCAUGAAGUCGGAAUCGCUAGUAAUCGUGGAUCAGAAUGCCACGGUGAAUACGUUCCCGGGCCUUGUACACACCGCCCGUCACACCAUGGGAGUGGGCUGCAAAAGAAGUAGGUAGUUUAACCUUCGGGAGGACGCUUACCACUUUGUGGUUCAUGACUGGGGUG
RNAcentral lists this ribosomal RNA (720 nucleotides) under Vibrio sp. DH47. RNAcentral describes it as "bacterial SSU rRNA". It matches the Rfam family "Bacterial small subunit ribosomal RNA", at positions 763 to 1482 of the family's 1533-position model. The record is from RNAcentral. Lineage: Bacteria; Pseudomonadati; Pseudomonadota; Gammaproteobacteria; Vibrionales; Vibrionaceae.